This 497-nucleotide ribosomal RNA is filed under the name uncultured bacterium. Its description in RNAcentral is "partial 16S ribosomal RNA". It matches the Rfam family "Bacterial small subunit ribosomal RNA", at positions 28 to 507 of the family's 1533-position model. The record is from RNAcentral.
GAUGAACGCUGGCGGCGUGCCUAAUACAUGCAAGUCGAGCGAACGGACGAGAAGCUUGCUUCUCUGAUGUUAGCGGCGGACGGGUGAGUAACACGUGGAUAACCUACCUAUAAGACUGGGAUAACUUCGGGAAACCGGAGCUAAUACCGGAUAAUAUUUUGAACCGCAUGGUUCAAAAGUGAAAGACGGUCUUGCUGUCACUUAUAGAUGGAUCCGCGCUGCAUUAGCUAGUUGGUAAGGUAACGGCUUACCAAGGCAACGAUGCAUAGCCGACCUGAGAGGGUGAUCGGCCACACUGGAACUGAGACACGGUCCAGACUCCUACGGGAGGCAGCAGUAGGGAAUCUUCCGCAAUGGGCGAAAGCCUGACGGAGCAACGCCGCGUGAGUGAUGAAGGUCUUCGGAUCGUAAAACUCUGUUAUUAGGGAAGAACAUAUGUGUAAGUAACUGUGCACAUCUCGACGGUACCUAAUCGGAAAGCCACGGCUAACUACGUG